UUAGGGUUUUCUACAGGGACAGAGCUAAUAGGAUAGAUAUAAAUCUAAAGGGGAGUUUAUUAAGGAGUAUUAACUCACAUGAUCACAAGGUCCCACAAUUGGCUGUCUGCAAGCUGAGGAACA
Long non-coding RNA from Sapajus apella (tufted capuchin), 123 nucleotides. RefSeq lists it as uncharacterized. NCBI's taxonomy places the organism in Eukaryota, Metazoa, Chordata, Mammalia, Primates, Cebidae. The record is from RefSeq and is a predicted model, not a curated record. The transcript is spliced from 3 exons.